Long non-coding RNA from Stegostoma tigrinum, 6823 nucleotides. RefSeq lists it as uncharacterized. NCBI's taxonomy places the organism in Eukaryota, Metazoa, Chordata, Chondrichthyes, Orectolobiformes, Stegostomatidae. The record is from RefSeq and is a predicted model, not a curated record. The transcript has 4 exons.
GUUGGGGGAACAACUCAUCUUUAGUCUUUUUUAACUGGGCACAAAGAGCUGUUACAUUUAUCAGCGUUUCAAAAAAAAUGUUCUCGCUUUAACCGAACUUAAAUUUCUGCUGCUAAGGAACGUAAGAGUUAAACUUUUUUUGUUGUUUGCUGCGGAGGGCUAGAGAUUUACCAGGGAAGCCAAGUUACGGGGAGUUGUUAGGGUGAGGACUCAUUGUCCAGUAUCCCUGAGCCCGAAUUGUGCCCUGGAUGGCCGUGUUGGUCUCUCUCUGGUCAUCACGAGGAGCUUCUCUGUCAACCUCCCCCACCCCACUCCCCGCCUCAAUGACCAUUGCCCGCUCAGACGAUAGUGUGGCCCGGGACACACUCCCUCUCUCUCUCUCUCUCUCUUACCUGGCGUUGGUGCAGUCGUUGUAGAGGAUUUCGAAAUCCUUCCUGGAGAUGAGUUUACAGCGGUUGACCCCGGGCUGGAUGGCGCCCAGGCCCCGCAGGAUGCGCACUUGCUCCACAUUGCAGACCACGGGCGUUAUAUCCAGCCUCUUCAACUUGGUGUAGACGGUGUGCAGCCCGCCGACCAGGUGCUUGAGGAAGAGGUCGAAGGCCUGGGGCAGGCAGAUCAGCUCGUGUCCGUCUACGGUGAACGAGGCCACCUUGGCCCCCCGCAGCUCCACCAUCCUGCACUCGUUGUUCUGCGGCGUGUUCUCGACCGGAGACGGCGUGGAGUAAACCGGUUUCGUGCCGCCGUCCGCCCGGAAUAAACUCUGUGCUGUCCCCGCUGUCCCUGGCCCUGCUCCCGCUGCAGCUCCGGCCGCCGAGGAAGUGAUUGCAGGGGAGGAUGAAGAGGAGGAAGAUGAGGAGGAUGAAGGGGUCGAGAUUGGAGUCUGAUUCACCGGAGCUGGUGGGAUCAGUGCAACCGGAACGGCCAUGGUUGCUGGAACAUAGAAAAAUUGGGGGAAAAGAAAAAAAAGACAAAAAAAUCCCCACUGUAUUUCUCCUCUUGAACCAGAACAGGAAUCAACACACAUUCAUUUAAAAGAAAAGAUAAUUGGGAGACUGAGAGAAUCCCAGGAAAGAGAGAGAGCAAGAAAGUUUUAAAAGGGCUCAUCCCAUAUGAUCCGUCUAAAAGAUUGACAUCUUAUAAAUCUGUUACACAUGGCCAAGGAGCUUACUUCUCAACCCAAACAUCCUGGCAAUUUUGCAUUUCUGCUGGAACACAAAUUGGUUGUAAUAUGGUUGAUGAAUAGUGGUUGCUGUCUUUAUAACACAAACUGUCUACAGCACAGGUAUAGCAAUUUUCUACAGUAAUUUUCCUGUAAUGUAACUUUCUACGGUGAUUUUCUAUCAUACAAUUUUCUGUAGCAUGAAGAUACACAACAUCGCAACUAUCGUGUUAAAAGAGAAAUAUCUGUACAUAGCGACCAGGAAUCUUUCUCGCUGUUACCCUUUUCUACUGGCACAUUGCAAAGACUUGCAGGUUGUUAACACAACCCGUUUGACCAUAGUUGAUCAUGCCUUCCUGACUAUCAUGCCUGGGGUAGACUCAAACCUAGAGCCUCUGACUGACGGAUAGUGAGACACUAUGCCAAAGGAUGCACAAACCUUACAAAAAACCUUAUAUGAAAUUUUGCCAAGUCAGGGAGUACUCUAUAAUGAAGCUGGAAAGAAGCCCCUCAAGACAUUUCAGAUUUAAGCCUCAGAGGACCCUUUCCUUUUGCUUCGAGCCCUUUGUUUGCUGGUCCUCUUCGUUAAAGCCUCCUUUGGUCAAUUUGUUAAUGAUGUGGUGGUUUAACUGUGGUCCCACUGCUGGUGCUCAGCAUUCCAUUCAACUAAUGAAGACAACCUUACACGAUGUGAAGUGUACACAUUUAAAGUUAUCUGUGGCAUUACAUCUUUCACUGUGUCGAGUCUUACCAAAGAGAUAGUGAAUAGAAUUGAUCUUAUAUUAUCAUGCUCGUAGCAAAGGAUACCUUAGGACCCAGCAGCACAGUAUUGGAGUCAUAUGGUCAGCCCAUAAAUAUUCCAUUAUCAUCAAGGAAAUAAAAUCUCUUCAAACAUAGGAUGCUUUUCUAUCUAAACAAUGGUGUUUAUUUUAUUUUAUGGCCUGAUUGCAGCAUUGGUGGGACUUAAGAUGAAAGAUCAUUAACCAUUGUCUCUCUGUAAUUUGAUAUUGCUAAUUAAAUGAUUCAUUACCAUUUUGCAUCUGCUCCUCAGAGGUGACCCAAGAUGCGUUCUUCACCACAUACUCUACACUGCUUUCAGAUUAUGUGAGACAUUUGGUGAAGCAGAAGACAGCUGAGCAAGAGAUUCAUUUGAACUCAGACUGCGCAGAAGGUUCUGGGACUUCAAGCAAUUCAUUGUGAUUAAACUAUUAGCUGCAGUAUGAUUAAACACAGUAGUUCACUGAAGUGUGAUUAAAAAAUGUUAAUUUCAAUGAAUAAAACUGAUAAUUAUGGCUUAAAUAAUAAUAUUAAUUGCAGUAAGACUGAAACUAGUACUUCUGUGACUGAUUUAUGGCAGGAGAUAAAAUAAAACAGCAAUUCAGAUGUAAGCCUAUCUCACUAAGUUUCUAGUGCAGCCAAGCAUAUUCCUCCAUUCAGGUCCCGCCUCUCCAGCUAAUGAUCGUUAAGCUGUCCUGGAAAAAGUGAAGACUACAUUGCUACCUCACUGAUGCACUCUGUCUCAGAGCAUUUCCCAGCUCAUGUAUAGAACCCAAAUCAUAUGCUAGCUUCUGUACUGAGCCCCGAAAGGUAUCAGUGAAGUAUAUUAUAUCCUCGAUAAUAUUAACUUUAAUCAAUUUGGAAUUCAGUUUCAUGGAUUUGUUGUAUCUCCCUUUUUGAAGUUAGGAGCUAAUCUUACUGUAUGUCACCCUCUGUUACUAUUACUUUUCCUACAGAUUUUUUAAAAAUUGUGUUUUAAUCUACAAUCUCUACCAAACUUCCAUAGCGUAUCCCCAAAUGUUUUGUUCUAUGUUCUUGUCCUUAGUGAGUUUGCAUUGUAUCUACUUUCUUAUUCUCUUCACUGUUGCACAAUCCUUCCAGACUUGGUCUACUUUUGUUUUGUUUUUGUCUUUGACACCCAUUUCAGUCAAAUUCAUGACAAAGUGUCUAUUCAAUAUCCCUGCUAUUUAAAAUACUAUACAAGCAGAACUAGACUAUGUCAAGAUUUAGUAUCUGGAACAUUGUAGACUGUUGGAAAGUGUGCAUGCAUGGAUGGAAGAGUAAUGUUGAUCUAGGCUAUGGCGAUUCAGUGGUCAAAUCAGAAACUGAUAUUCACUGUUCAGGUUUAUCAUGGAGAGCUGUGAGGAACUGUAAAUACUCAAGACAUGUAGAAUCAUGGAAAUACGUCAGUGCAAGUCAAUGUCUUCAGGAUAAAAGGCAGAAAAUGAGGAACAAACAAAAUGAAAAAUAUUACUUAAAUAAUAAAAUAGAAAUUAAUUAUAUCACAGAAGAAAACAGAAUAAUUAAAAUGGAUGAGUAGGUAGGAAGACUAGCUUGGAACCAAUAAUGCUAAGUGCUGUACCAAGUGGUACCAAGUUGGGUGGGAGGGUGAACUGUGACGAGGAUGCAAAAAUCCUUCAGCAUAUUCUCGAGAGGUUGGGUGAGUGGGCAAAUUAAUGGCAGAUGCAGUACAAUUUAGAUAAAUGUGAGGUUAUUCACUUCAGAAGCAAAACAAGAAGGCAGAUUACUACCUGAAUGGCUGUAAAUUGGGAGAAGGGAGUGUACAGUGGGGCCUGGGUCCCUUAUGUAUCAGCUGCUGAAGGCAAGGAUAGAGGUGCAGCAGGCAGUAAAGAAGGCAAAGGGUAUGUUGGCCUUCAUUGUGAGAGUUUUGAGUUGAAGAGCAGGGGUGUGUGGUUGCAGUUAUAUAGGGCCUUGGUGAGGCCAAACCUGAAGUAUUGUGUGCAGUUUUAGUCUCCUUUUCUGAAGAAGGAAGCUCUUGCUCUUGAGGAGUUCAGCAAAGGUUUACCAGGCUGAUUCCAGGGAUGGCGGGACUGGCAUAUGAGAAGAGAAUGACUCGGCUGGGAUUGUUUUUGCUGGAAUCAGAUGGAUAAAGGGGCAUCCUAUAGAGACUAAUAAACUUCUAACAGGACUGGACAGGGUAGAUGCAGGGAAAAUGUUCCACAUGGUGGGUCACAGUAUGAGAAUUUGGGAUAGAUGAUUUAGGACAGAGAUGAUGAAACGUUUCUUCACCCAAAAAGUGGUGAGCCUGUGGAAUUCAUUACCACAGGAAGUGGUUGAUACCAAAACAUUGAAUGUAUUCAAGAGUCGACAAGGUAUAGCACUUGGGAUGAAUGGGAUCAAAGGUUAUCGGGAGAAAGCAGGAUUGGCCCGUUGAGUUGAACAAUCAGCCAUGAUCGUGAAGAAAGACAGAGCAGGCUCGAAAGGCCAAAUGGCCUCCAAGCUCCUAUCUUCUAUGUUUCUAAGUAAUAUGACGCGAUAUAGAGGUAAAAAUGCAAUGAGUUAAAACUUUGCAUAUAAAAGUAACAAGCUGCAAAAAGCCUUGCCUCAGGCUUAUCUAAGACUGACAGCUUAGGCAGUAAGCACUUAGGUCUUGCACCAAUUUCCUGCUUAGAAUCUAGCAGCCGGAGCUUCUCUGGCUAGCGGCGCAUAUCAGGGAAUCUCAGGCAUCAGGCCCACAACUUCCUGAUGAGCAUUGACAUUGGCUGAGACUCCUUGUUGGUUAUGUAAACUAGGAGAAUUCACACUGUCGGAGUAUCCUAUUGUUACAAAGCAAUGGUAUUUGCACAUAUUUCGGAUUCCAGAAUGGAGCUCUAUAUUAUGUUUCAUGUUAUGUGAUCAGUUCUUUUGAAUUUGCAUUUUUGAUUUUUGCCACAAAUUUGGACUGAAUUAAGUCAGAAGAACUAAUAUUGAAGAAAGUUAGUGCAGAUUAUGUGCUACAAGUCAAGAUAAUAUCUUGAUGUUAGACUAGACGUUAUAACAUAAUUUCCUCUUUGAAUAGUUCCUCACUUGAUUAAUGAUCCUCUAAUGAAAUUGCACAUGAUGCUGCAAAGCCGCACUUGAUUUUUGAGAAGAUUAUGAGUUUUAGAGAGAAAAACAAACACCAAUGCAUGUUGGGAAUGUGUUUUAUUGGGAAGAGAUCCUUUGGGUGACAUUGAUGGAUUUGGGAAGUCAGGAACUUCAACAUGGACAGGCCGCAGGAGAAAACUGCAUGAGAACCAUUGCACAUGAAGGAAGUAUUACUUUAAAGUUGAGUUUAUUCCUUUCCUUGCUAACUUGGCUGGUUUUGUAUCAUUAUAUUGGCUAGAUAUAUCACUUCCAAUUCAAUGUACACUUGCAGAGCAAAAUUAAAACAGUGACCAAAAUCUUUGCAAAUAUCGAACACAAGCAAUUUGCUUAGUUUUUCUUCUGGUCCUUUUCAGUGAUAGCUGUUGCUGAUAUUGAUUGGAAUUGAAAUUGCAAUUAACUUAUUUUCCUUUCUGUUUUCAGUAAGCAGCAAGUCUGCACUUCGGUGAGUGAACAUUGACUGGUUUCACUGAACAUAAAUAUGUACAAAGAAUGGAGACAUAACCAUGGACUGACAGGGACCUUAAAAUGAUCCCAAGCUGAAUUUUUAGCUUCUCAUUCAAACUCUUUUGUCAAGAGUAAUUCAUGGUGGCUGGUCCUCCAUGGCCUGAAUGGGCCUUUCCAAAGCAAUCUUCCACUCUUCAGCUCAUUAAUUAUACAAUCAGAUUCUCGAGCACCUUCUCAUGGAAUCAAAUGGCAGGGAAGAGGAAGUAUUCGCCUCAUCUGGGACCUGCCAACUUUCAGUCCACUGCCGUCAUGUUUAAAGCUCAGUUGUGCACCACUUCAGAACUCUGCAAGCCUUGGGACUGCCCCUCAGUCUGUGUUGCUCAACCCAUCACACUGAGGAUGUGUCCCAGAAAAUCAACUUUGCUUCUUGCUUCGCUAACGGGAACCCAGAGGGGUUGCUGAAUGGUUUGGUGGAGAGGAGAACCACGUUCUUUUUACCCUGCUCACUGCUGAAGGACACCAGCUCAGUAGACAUAGCCAACCUGGUCAAAGAGAGUGGCCGAGGUCUGUCCUGUGUUGCAGGUUAAAAGGAAUGUGCUACAAUGCAAGAGAAUUAUUGAUUUCUGACAUGCCAUAUCCGGAAUCUCUGGUCUGGCCCAAUCAUCAGACUGUGAAGACAUGAAUCGCCAGAUUCUGAUAAGUCCUAAGACUUGAUCAUCCAUGGGUGAUCGCCUAGACUGGAUUCACGUCAGUUCUGAGACGGACUGUGACAGCCUGUAGGCCCCAUAGACUCCACAAGAACAGCUCCCCUUUGACUUUCAGACAGGGCCAUUUGGCUGAAGCACAUGCAAUGCACUUGCUACACAAAUUGCCGGCAUUUGCGGCAAUUGUAGCAGAGAUUGACAGCCUGUGUGCGAAGAAAACAAUGCAAACCAGAGGCUGGUAGCCAUCAUAUAAGCACAAGGUGAGUGCUAAGAAAUGUAACAAAGAACCAGAAUCUUGUGUAAAUGGAUGAGAUGUUCGUGUGUCCCUGCAUGCAAACUGACUUGAAAGAAAUGCACAGGUCAUCGAUAUCCCUGAGCUCCAAAAUAAAGUGAAGUGCUGGGCUAGAUUGACAGUUGGUUCAAGAUGAAGCCUGGUGAUAUGGUGAGGCUAGUGGCCUGCCAAUGCCAGGUUUUGUGGAUGAAGGAUGAAGGCAGCUCUGGGCAUGAGGAGCCACUUACUGAAGACACAGUUGGAUGAUGGCCAGGGCAAAGAAAUCAGCAAAUUGCAGAUUCUCUGAUGUAUAUAUAUGUUUGGAAUUUGCACUGUCUUGUUUCUUGGAGAAGGAGAAAAAUGAAAGUGUAAAUGAGGCAA